UACGGAGGGGGCUAGCGUUGUUCGGAAUUACUGGGCGUAAAGCGCACGUAGGCGGCUUUGUAAGUUAGAGGUGAAAGCCCGGGGCUCAACUCCGGAACUGCCUUUAAGACUGCAUCGCUAGAAUUGUGGAGAGGUAAGUGGAAUUCCGAGUGUAGAGGUGAAAUUCGUAGAUAUUCGGAAGAACACCAGUGGCGAAAGCGGCUUCCUGGUCCAGCACCGACGUUCAGGCACGAAAGCGUGGGGAGCAAACAGG
This 253-nucleotide ribosomal RNA is filed under the name uncultured prokaryote. RNAcentral describes it as "partial 16S ribosomal RNA". It matches the Rfam family "Bacterial small subunit ribosomal RNA", at positions 524 to 776 of the family's 1533-position model. The record is from RNAcentral.